Molecule: ribosomal RNA, 301 nt
Filed under: uncultured bacterium
Lineage: Bacteria
Description: partial 16S ribosomal RNA
Rfam family: Bacterial small subunit ribosomal RNA
Source: RNAcentral
CAGCAGCCGCGGUAACACGAAGGGUGCAAGCGUUAAUCAGAAUUACUGGGCGUAAAGCGUGCGUAGGCGGUGAGUUAAGUCUGCUGUGAAAUCCCCGGGCUCAACCUGGGAAUGGCAGUGGAUACUGGCUCGCUAGAGUGUGUCAGAGGAUGGUGGAAUUCCCGGUGUAGCGGUGAAAUGCGUAGAGAUCGGGAGGAACAUCAGUGGCGAAGGCGGCCAUCUGGGACAACACUGACGCUGAGGCACGAAAGCGUGGGGAGCAAACAGGAUUAGAUACCCCUGUAGUCCCUGUCGCUUAUAC